CCCACUGAUUCGUGGUGGAUGACGAAAGCCAAUCUCUUGCAAACUUGACAGAUCUACAUGUACUCUGCUCAACGAUUAUUCCACCAUGCCGUGAAGACAACUUCAUCGAGGUCGUCGUGAAGAGGAACUUGAUUCCCUGGACCAAUAGUUCAUCAAUGGAAACGAAUGGAGCAGCGUGCAUAAGUUUAUUUAAGGUAUCCCUAAUCGUAACGUAAAUAAAUAAAAUAUCAUUAAACAGCGAUUAAUGCCGUAAA
Molecule: long non-coding RNA, 254 nt
Organism: Rhipicephalus microplus (southern cattle tick)
Lineage: Eukaryota; Metazoa; Arthropoda; Arachnida; Ixodida; Ixodidae
Source: RefSeq, a predicted model, not a curated record